UUCUCACCCCCCUCUCUGAAACGAACAGCCCCCGCUUAUUUUUCCAGCAAACCUGUUCGUCGAAUAUAUGAUAACGAUGCUCUUUUUCCGAAUAUUUGUACUUUUGAUUUCCUGUUGAACUUUAAAUUGUAUCGACUUGUUCGUUUCGUCUCAGCUUGUUCCACUUGCUGUGGUCUUUUUCCCGAGCACAAAAUCGUGAAUUGAUCUCUUCUUUACUAGAUUUAAGUGGGAUUUGUGUUGUGAUGGACGAUGGGGAGCUUGAUUUUUCGAACCAAGAAGUGUUUUCCGGCAAUAACAUAGGUGAUAUUCCUAGCAGUUGCUCGAUGGACAGUUUUUUUGAUGAAUUACUCAAUGAUUCCCAUGCCUGUACCCAUACACACACUUGCAACCCACCCGGCCCUGAUAACUCUCAUACGCACACAUGUUUUCAUUUUCACACCAAAAUCGUGCCUGCCACGAGUGAAGAUAAUGUUGCUGUUGAUGAUUCGGCCGAGUCUAGGGAGAAGAAAUCGAAGAAACGUACUUUAGGUAAUCGAGAAGCUGUUAGGAAGUAUAGGGAGAAGGUUAAGGCACGAGCUGCUUCUUUGGAGGACGAGGUUGUGAGAUUGAGAGCAUUGAACCAGCAGCUGGUGAAGAGAUUACAAGGUCAGGCUGCAUUGGAGGCUGAGGUCGUGAGGCUUAAGUGUUUGCUUGUUGAUAUUCGAGGAAGAAUCGAAGGGGAGAUUGGAUCGUUUCCUUAUCAGAAACCAGCAACUAAUGUUAACAUGAUCAAUGUGCCUAGUGAUGCUUAUGUGACGAAUCCCUGCAAUGUGCAAUGCAACGAUCAGAUGUAUUGCCUUAAUCCUGGAGGUGAAGAUAAAACAGGAGAAGCUGCUGCGCUGAAUGGACAAGGAUUUAAUGGUUGCGGCUUCGACAAUAUUCAGUGCUUGGCGAAUCAGAACUCUGGAGCAAAUGAGCUUUCUACCGGUGGGGUUAGAAUUGGAGGAUCCAAUGGCAAUUCUUCUAGCACAAAAAGGAGGAAAGGUGUUCAUCAAGCUACAGCAGGUUGAUAACCGUUCGGAAGGGGGUACAUAUUUGUGUUCUAACAAGCGGUUUCCUUUGGAUGCAUAACCUUCAUUAGUCAGAAUAAAUGGUGGAAUAACUUUGAGGUUUCGAAAGUGUGAGCCCUUACAGGUGAGUUACAAGUUCCACUCCUUGCAGUCAUGCUUUGUGAUUCACAUAUGAAGCUACGAAUUAGCUUGCAUUGGUUUCGGCCUUUCCUAUUCCGGUUUUGCAUGGCAUUGACAAAGCGCAGGAAGUUUGCCUUUUGCAUAUGAGCAUUCUUUAGCUGUGGGGUUGCCUACUCGAGAGUGAAGUGGCCGUCUUUUAAUAAAAAAUUAUGGUCUGUAAGUGAUAACGGACCCCAGAGAUUAACCCUCGUCUACCUUGCUAAUGCUACAAUGCUAGAGUUGGAACGAAAAUACAAAGGAAAGUGUGGGUUUGAGGUUGGGUAAUUCAAGCAUUCUUAGAUCCUGAAUUUCAACUGUUGACUUGUUCUUGUCUUUAUUGCUGGCGAUUUCAGACAAAGAUGUUUGAACCGAAACUGGGAUUCAGAAUCUCUGGAUCAAGAGUAUUGAAUUGGGAAUUACAGGGAAACAGCCUCUGCUUUUGGUGUUCC
Molecule: RNA transcript, 1657 nt
Organism: Hibiscus syriacus
Lineage: Eukaryota; Viridiplantae; Streptophyta; Magnoliopsida; Malvales; Malvaceae
Gene name: basic leucine zipper 19-like
Exons: 4
Source: RefSeq, a predicted model, not a curated record